Molecule: ribosomal RNA, 253 nt
Filed under: uncultured bacterium
Lineage: Bacteria
Description: partial 16S ribosomal RNA
Rfam family: Bacterial small subunit ribosomal RNA
Source: RNAcentral
UACGGAGGAUGCAAGCGUUAUCCGGAAUGAUUGGGCGUAAAGCGUCCGCAGGUGGCGAUGUAAGUCUGCUGUUAAAGAGUCUAGCUCAACUAGAUAAGAGCAGUGGAAACUACAUAGCUAGAGUACGUUCGGGGCAGAGGGAAUUCCGGGUGUAGCGGUGAAAUGCGUAGAGAUCAGGAAGAACACCAGUGGCGAAGGCGCUCUGCUAGGCCGUAACUGACACUGAGGGACGAAAGCUAGGGGAGCGAAUGGG